Molecule: long non-coding RNA, 1581 nt
Filed under: Homo sapiens (human)
Lineage: Eukaryota; Metazoa; Chordata; Mammalia; Primates; Hominidae
Description: HSALNT0019479
Source: RNAcentral
GAGAAUUAUAAACUCAAAGAAAAAGACUAUUAGAUAAUCAUCUGUAGAUAUAGUAACUGGACAUGUUUUUAAGAUUGCUUUUCUUGGGAAAAAGAGAAACACAUUUGUAAUUUAAUGUGUAAAUUACACAUAAGCAACUGUUUCAGCUGGAUUUUCAUCUGGUUGUAAGUAAAAGUGUGACUUAAACACAUUGGUAUUUAUAUGUCUCAUUUAACUAAAAGUCUCUGAGAUGAGUAGGCAGGUCUGGACUAGUACUGAGUGAGAUAUAUUGUCUAUGUCCCCAUCCAAAUCUCAUCUUGAAUUCCCAAGUGUUGUGGGAGGGACCUGGUGAGAGGUAAUUGAAUAAUGGGGGUAAGUCUUUCCUGUGCUGUUCUCCUAAUAAUGAAUAAAUCUCACUAGAUCUGAUGGUUUUAAAAAAAGGAGUUCCCCCACACAAGCUCUCUCUCUCUUUGUCUGCAGCCAUCCAUGUAAGACAUGACUUGCUGUUCCUUGCCUUCUGCCAUGAUUGUGAGGCUUCCCCAGCCACGUGGAACCAUUGUUCCUGUCCCCACCUCCAGGAACAAACAGCACAGUUCAAGGAUGUCUUUAUUAAAAAAACUGACGUACUUUCCAAGGUGUUUACUUCUCUUCCUGGUCAAGAGUUAAAGUGGCACUAAGUUAUAAUAAAAUGUGUUUUGUUUGUUGUCUAACUUAUUUUAAUAAAGCACAAGUCCUAUAUAUUUUAUAUCUAUGUUCUAUGUUCAAGGGAUGCCACUUUGUUAUCUACAAAGCCUUCGAAAAAUUUGAAGUUAGAGAAUGAAAUGAAACUCUAGCUGCAAUUUCAUAAUCAUUCAAAGCAGUACAAUAAUGGAAAGAAAAAACUAAGCUGAGGCUUUAUUCUAGCUCAGUGCUAUUCAAAGUGUGGUUCGUGGAUUAUUGCUAGUCCACAAACAAUUUGUUAUUGCACUAACAUAAGAAAAGAAAUUGAAAGUAAUCAUCUGGAAAUGUCUAUAGUAAUUUGACAGCUGCUUGUGGCAAAAUAGUCUUACUAGACACCAGCAGUAGGAUCACGUUUUAAUUUGUAAUAUUUUAAGGUCACUUUGGCAACUAUACCUUAAAAGCAUAUAAAAUCUGGUAUUUAUUUCUGACAUAGACACGUCAAUCAAUUAUAAUUAAAUAAGAAAAUUAUUUCAACUAAAUAGAAGAUAAAGAUGAAUUGUGAAAAUUCAGCAACACUUGCCUCAUUUUGUUUAAAAUUUCAAAAUGAAUAUCACAAUAUUGCUAUAAAAUCACUCCCAUUAUUCAUCAAUAUAUUUCUAUGAGAAUAAGCAGUCUAAUAUGUGAGUUAUUAAAACAAAUCAUUUCUAGAUAGAUAUGUUUCUUUUAUAGGACUGGUGCUGUCAUUGACCUAACAGAUAAGUUAACAAGCAAGAUUUCAUACACAUUUGAGUUAUAGUUGUCACACUAUAUGCACAUGUUAGAUAAAUACUGUGCAUAUCAAUAUUUUGAGUAUUAGUGUGACAAAUGGGCCUAUCCAGUGUGUGUAUAGAGGUGUUUAAUGUGGAGACUCAUUGAUUUUUUUAAUUAUGACUAUAGAAAGCA